CGUUGGUCCCCCCGCGACGAGAAGCCGUGAACCCGGUCAGGCCCGGAAGGGAGCAGCCGCAGCGGUGGAUUCGGGCGCCGGGGUGUGGCUGGCGUGG
RNAcentral lists this signal recognition particle RNA (97 nucleotides) under Gammaproteobacteria bacterium. RNAcentral describes it as "signal recognition particle sRNA small type". It matches the Rfam family "Bacterial small signal recognition particle RNA". Rfam says of the family: The signal recognition particle (SRP) is a universally conserved ribonucleoprotein involved in the co-translational targeting of proteins to membranes. Archaeal SRP consists of a 7S RNA and homologues of the eukaryotic SRP19 and SRP54 proteins. The record is from RNAcentral. Lineage: Bacteria; Pseudomonadati; Pseudomonadota; Gammaproteobacteria.